Molecule: ribosomal RNA, 492 nt
Filed under: uncultured bacterium
Lineage: Bacteria
Description: partial 16S ribosomal RNA
Rfam family: Bacterial small subunit ribosomal RNA
Source: RNAcentral
AGUGAACGCUGGCGGUAGGCCUAACACAUGCAAGUCGAACGGCAGCACAGUAAGAGCUUGCUCUUACGGGUGGCGAGUGGCGGACGGGUGAGGAAUACAUCGGAAUCUACUUUUUCGUGGGGGAUAACGUAGGGAAACUUACGCUAAUACCGCAUACGACCUACGGGUGAAAGCAGGGGAUCUUCGGACCUUGCGCGAUUGGAUGAGCCGAUGUCGGAUUAGCUAGUUGGCGGCGUAAAGGCCCACCAAGGCGACGAUCCGUAGCUGGUCUGAGAGGAUGAUCAGCCACACUGGAACUGAGACACGGUCCAGACUCCUACGGGAGGCAGCAGUGGGGAAUAUUGGACAAUGGGCGCAAGCCUGAUCCAGCCAUACCGCGUGGGUGAAGAAGGCCUUCGGGUUGUAAAGCCCUUUUGUUGGGAAAGAAAAGCAGCAGGUUAAUACCCCGCUGUUCUGACGGUACCCAAAGAAUAAGCACCGGCUAACUUCGUG